AUUUGCUUUCUCCUUUCUCUUGUUUUCUCUCUCUCUCUCUCUCUCUCUGUUUCUUUCUUUUGUUCGGAAUAAAAAAAUCGCAGUUAGGAGAAUCAAGAUUCUCCAGGUUAAAUCUUUAGCUGGUAAUUUAGCGGAUCGAAGAACGGGGUGCUGAUACGGACAUCCUUCACAGAUAACACACGCGGAAAAAAGCGGAGAGAGAAAAGGGUAGAAAAAAACAAAAAGAAGAAAAAUAGAGAAAGAUAGAAGAAGAAGAAAGAAACAAAAAUAAAGAGAAAGAAAUAUCAUCUCAACGUUUAAGAAGAAUGUGUGUCAGGACAUUCGAUACUCGACAUUUAUCUCUCGUGAUUGGACCAAGGAUACCUUAGAAGAGGGUUGCGGGUAUAUGUGUGUGUUUGUGUAUGCAUGUGUGCGAAA
RNAcentral lists this long non-coding RNA (417 nucleotides) under Polistes fuscatus (common paper wasp). RNAcentral describes it as "uncharacterized LOC122518530, transcript variant X2". Lineage: Eukaryota; Metazoa; Arthropoda; Insecta; Hymenoptera; Vespidae. The record is from RNAcentral.